CAAAGUAGAGCUUGAGAGUUAAGCAUUUCAUUUACAUUGAAAGGAUGCCGUGCGAUUCGGUUAUUUUGA
RNAcentral lists this transfer RNA (69 nucleotides) under Siphlonurus immanis. RNAcentral describes it as "tRNA-Val". The record is from RNAcentral. Lineage: Eukaryota; Metazoa; Arthropoda; Insecta; Ephemeroptera; Siphlonuridae.